This 470-nucleotide ribosomal RNA is filed under the name uncultured bacterium. RNAcentral's name for it is "SSU rRNA". It matches the Rfam family "Bacterial small subunit ribosomal RNA", at positions 26 to 507 of the family's 1533-position model. The record is from RNAcentral.
AGGAUGAACGCUGGCGGCGUGCCUAACACAUGCAAGUCGAACGCGCUCCAUUCGGUAGCAAUACUGAUGAAGAGUGAGUGGCGAACGGGUGAGUAACACAUGAGCAACCUGCCCCGAAGACCGGGACAACACCGGGAAACCGGUGCUAAUACCGGAUAUCCCUAUCGGACCGCAUGAUCUGAUAAGGAAAUGGAUUCCGCUUCGGGAGGGGCUCGUGGCCUAUCAGCUAGUUGGUGAGGUAAUAGCUCACCAAGGCAUCGACGGGUAGCUGGUCUGAGAGGACGAUCAGCCACACUGGGACUGAGACACGGCCCAGACUCCUACGGGAGGCAGCAGUGGGGAAUCUUGCGCAAUGGGCGAAAGCCUGACGCAGCAACGCCGCGUGGAGGACGAAUGCUUUCUGAGUUGUAAACUCCUUUCAGCAGGACGAUUGUGACGGUACCUGCAGAAGAGCACCGGCCAACUACGCG